RNAcentral lists this ribosomal RNA (453 nucleotides) under uncultured bacterium. RNAcentral's name for it is "bacterial SSU rRNA". It matches the Rfam family "Bacterial small subunit ribosomal RNA", at positions 328 to 793 of the family's 1533-position model. The record is from RNAcentral.
CGCUAUCACUCCUACGGGAGGCAGCAGUGGGGAAUCUUGGACAAUGGGGGCAACCCCUGAUCCAGCCAUGCCGCGUGAGUGAUGAAGGCCUUAGGGGUCGUAAAGCUCUUUCGCCUGUGAUGAUAAUGACAGUAGCAGGUAAAGAAACCCCGGCUAACUCCGUGCCAGCAGCCGCGGUAAUACGGAGGGGGUUAGCGUUGUUCGGAAUUACUGGGCGUAAAGCGCGCGUAGGCGGAUUAGUCAGUUAGAGGUGAAAUCCCCAGGGCUCAACCCCUGGAACUGCCUUUAAUACUGCUAGUCUUGAGUUCGAGAGAGGUGAGUGGAAUUCCGAGUGUAGAGGUGAAAUUCGUAGAUAUUCGGAGGAACACCAGUGGCGAAGGCGGCUCCACUGGCUCGAUACUGACGCUGAGGUGCGAAAGUGUGGGGAGCAAACAGGAUUAGAUACCCUGGUAG